This is a long non-coding RNA of Thunnus maccoyii (southern bluefin tuna), 1812 nucleotides long. RefSeq lists it as uncharacterized. The record is from RefSeq and is a predicted model, not a curated record. The transcript is spliced from 7 exons. Lineage: Eukaryota; Metazoa; Chordata; Actinopteri; Scombriformes; Scombridae.
UAACAUUUUUAUUAUAGCUUGUGUUUUUAUUUAUGAAAUAGCCUAUCUUGUAUUUAUGACACUUGUGUGGCAGUAGCUAUAUUUUUCUCUGUAUGUUGGCUAUAGCCGUUUUUGUGCCUAAAGACAAAUUCCCCGUAGGUUCGGCUAUAUGAAAGCCUUAUAACAUUAUAUUAUUCUGAAAAGAAACUCAGCAUAACAUAUAGGCUAACUAACUCCACACAAUAAGGCUGUUUAAUAACUGUUCAUCUUGCCAAAAUGGUCGAUAACUGUAUAGUAGCUAAACACUAUCAGCUAUGCAGGAACCCACCUGUUAACAUACUGCAUCCUUCUUCACGUCUGACAGGAUUUACCGUUCCAAAUUUUCGUAAGUUUGGCAGAAAAUUCCGCAGAUUUUUCUUUGUUGUGCCGUUUUUGGGCACCGCUUUGAUAUUUUCGUUUCAUUUUCUAAGUGUCUCUGACAGCGGUGCUGUCACUGAGCUGUACUGAACUGAUUUGAAUUUCCCGCCUAAUGUAUUAAUUGGACCAAAAAUCCCUGACGUAUCAAACAAAGAAAACUAUGGACCAGUAAAGUUUUUAUUUUAUUUCAAAUAUUUGUUUUAUUUUUAUGUUCAAAAUACAGACAAUAUCAUGACCUGAACCCUACGUUGCGGUAGCCGGCAGGCUGUCAGUGAAGUCGUGAGCUGAUUGGUUGAGCCAAAGAAAAACAUCACGUGAUCUCAAAUUUGAACAGUGUCACUGAGUCAAUCUGGGCGCCAAACGAAUUUACUUCACUGCAGCCGUUUGGGAUUUAACAGCUGUUUGGAUUACUACAUUAUCUUUUUUUACUUUAAAGGAUUUUCUUUUUAAGAGUGCUCAUAUUCUUGUCUGUUUUUGCUCGGUGUAAAGUUGUCAGACGGUAUCAUAGAUGGACUUUCUGACAUCCUACAGCUUGCUAACUUCACCAGCUAACAUUUAACUGCAGAGUCCUCUGAAACAAAGGACACAACAAACUCGGAACAUUCAGAAACGAGCACUGGAAGAUACUAGAGACCACAAAGAGGUCUGUUCAACAGAUAUUUUUUGCAGUGUGGACAGUGCACUUCUUGCACUGUGGUGAGAAGUAACGUUAAAGUUAGCAUUAGUCUGGAGCAGCAGCAGCAACAGGAGGAGGCACGACAUCAGCAGCUGAUCACUGACGAGCACUCCUGCUGAUGCCAGAGUCCAGUCUCUCUCAUCAUCCCAGGUCUCACUGUGCAAGGAGAACCUGAACCUGAGAUCCUGUGUACAAACCAAAUGGAUGCUGCUGAUGGAGACCUGACUUCAUCACCACUUUGGCUGCCAUCUUCACAUCUUGCUAUAGGUUCACAGUUGAAUAUCAGGAGGAAACAAUGACAUCGCUGGAGUUCAAAAGAUGGAAUCAAAUCUAUCAGGAGAUACAGGAAAACACCUGAAAGCCGGACUCAAGACCUGCGCUGCACUUGAUUCACAUCGCUGUUCCACGUGUUGAAGGAAGUUAUCAGUCCAAUCAUCCAGAGGCAAAACACUAACCACUGGGACUGUAUCUCCAUUGGAGAACAACUGAUGAUGACACUGCGCUUCUUGGCAACAGGGGAAAGCUUCAGCAGUCUUUCUUACCAGUUACAAGUGGGAAUAUCAACAAUUCAGCAAUUUGUUCCUGAAUCCUGUACAGAAAUCUACCAGGUUUUCAAAGAGAAAUACUUGAGGGCUGUGAGGCCUCGUCUGAAGUGAAGGGAUGUGAAGGAGGAUGGGUUGAACUCACCUGCAAAUACCCAAGAGCAAAUCAGGAAUAUCAAAAGAUAGAGGUUAUUAAAC